ACAAUACUUAAAUGGCUUCAGCAAUUUAUUGCGAGUUAUUUCCUGGGGAUCAGUGUAUAACCACAUAAAAUAGCUUAUUAAGCUUAGUGGAGAAUAAGUUUUCGUGACUUUCCAGGGUUCAGAUUUUAAAUUCUUUUCGUUUUUUCCCAAUAUGACAUAGACUAUAUUUAUAUCUGUAUUUAAAGAUAUCUUAUGGGAGUUUAUCAAGCCGAGUAAUCAUGCCUGAUUGGUGCUGUGUUUAAAAUAGAAAGACAAGAAUGACUAAAGCGAUAAUAAGUAUAUAUAUAUAUAUAUAUAGGUGUGUGUGUUUUCAUUUUCAAAAGGAAGAGUGGGGCAUAAAAAAAAGCAAGCAACAUUACAUUGGAUAUGCGAGGAAACUGGUUCGGAUCAAGUAAGCAUCAUUUGUUUGCAGAGCGCAGAAGAACACAGAAGAAACAAAUCCACCAUCUGGUACAAGCGUUCUUUAUUCAAAACAAUGAAAAUAAUCCAAUACUUAAAUGUGUAUUUUUAGAAAUGUUGAAUGAAAACAACAUAACUCUUGCAUGACUCACAUUUGGUAUGAAACAAGACCAUUCAAAACUGAAUGAUGAAAUAUUCUUGCAAAUGUUGUUGAACUG
Non-coding RNA from Ciona intestinalis (vase tunicate), 617 nucleotides. The record is from RefSeq and is a predicted model, not a curated record. NCBI's taxonomy places the organism in Eukaryota, Metazoa, Chordata, Ascidiacea, Phlebobranchia, Cionidae.